This is a long non-coding RNA of Lepus europaeus (European hare), 800 nucleotides long. RefSeq lists it as uncharacterized. The record is from RefSeq and is a predicted model, not a curated record. The transcript is spliced from 4 exons. Lineage: Eukaryota; Metazoa; Chordata; Mammalia; Lagomorpha; Leporidae.
CCUAGUCACGUCCAGACUACAGCGGGAAGAGCGUCCCUGUGGUGGCUCGGCCUUCUCCUCUCUGAGAAGAGGAAGCCCCGGACCUCGGGAGCAGGAAGUGGUCCAGAAACUGCUCAGGUGUGGGUGUAGGUGGUUGAGCAACAGGCAGUCCUGCCUUCUUGAUUCCCCAUAAAGAUACAGUUCUCUGCAGUGCAUCUGAGAAGCAGCAGACAACCCAAAUUCUUGAGUCCCUGCCACCAUGAGGGAGACUUGGAUGGAGUUCCAGAUCCGAGCUUUGAUCUGACCCAGUCCCAGCCAUUGUGACCAUUUGCAUACUCCUUGGUGCUGCUGCUCUCUGUGGACUCGCCCUCCUCAGCCUCUGACUAGAGCACAGCCACUCUCCAGUGCUGACAUCCUCUGACACACAUUUCACUCUGCUGUUCUCUCUAAACUGUAGACUCUGCUUGGGCAACCCAACUAACUCUCAUGCAUAGAACACACACCUGAGGACUCCAGAGCCUUAGACUUCAGGUCUGAACUAACUUUCAUUUUCAGAUGACUGGUGAAAAAACAAGUCUGGAAGCCAGGGUGUAGCCUUGUGGUUUAGAUGCCUGUAUCCCACAUUGGAGUUUCUGGGUUUGAUUCCCAGUUCCAGCCCCUGACUCCAACUCCCUGGAAAUGCAAACCCUGAGAGCUAGCAAGUGAUGGCUCAGAUGAUGGGGUUCCCUGCUCCUGGGCCAGCCCUGGCCACUGUGGACUUUUGAGCAGUGAACUAGAGGGUGAAUACCACUUCUCUGUCUACUUGUUUGUCUCUCUGCAUC